CGACAUGUAAGUCAUCUACAAAAUGUUAUUUAACUUUCACACAGGACUCUCCUGAGUGAAAGGCCUGAGUUUACUUGACUCAUCUGUCCACCUCCGUACAUGGACUUUGUGGGGGUGGAGAUGGAGCAAUGGAUAGGACACAUGCCUUUGGUGUAGGAGACCUGGGUUCGAUUCCCCCCUGUGACAUAGACUGUAUGUAAGAAGUGGGCGUCGUCAUCGUGACAUCACCUGUUGGUUUGUGGACUGCCGUUUUGAGUUUGGCCGCCAUGUUGAGUUUUUGCAACCAGCGACACAGGACGUGACCAUAUUUGGACGAGACGGUUUAGCUAACGGCCGUGUGCGGAGCUAGCUAGCUUGCUUAGCUAGGUGCAUCUGUACCUCACGUUAACCGUCAUCUUAACAGGGCUGAUAACUUCACAGUCACAGUGAUAACAACAGUCUACAAACUAAAUGUGCUCACCAGAGAAAGUGAACAGCCGACUCCUGAUAAGCUUUUUCAAAAGCGCUAAAUUUACACAGUCCCGUGGGGACGAGUCACUCUAGCUUGAUUGACAGGUUGCCAUGGUAACGACUUGUCAAUCAUAGAUAAUCCCGCCCUAAAGUCCCUGAGCAAGACACCGAACCCCUCGUUGCUGCAGAGGCGCGUGACUUUUUGCAAUUGUAAGUUGCUUUGGAUAAAAUCGUCAGCUAAAUGACUAAUUGUCGCUGUUUAUAUGUCACCUGACUUUUUCUGACACUAGAGGUUGCGGCCUAACAAAACAACGUAAAUUUGGGUCGUAAUAAUCGGCUGCAUUAUCGACAUGUACGGACGUUUCUCUGCUGAGGACUGGCUGUUGUGUUUUCUGCUAAUUAGCUAAUGUUAGCAUGCUAGCGUCAUUGUGAGCGCCGUGUCAGAGUGCAGCCUCACAGAGCAACUCCCACUUCACUCUAGUUUCAACAAUUCACUGUUAUCGGAAGCUAUAAGCCUAUAAGCCAGCCGCCUCACUGCUGCAGAGCGCUGUACUGUAGUUUAUUCAAAGUGUAAUAAUUCUGUCACAUGUCCAAAUUUGUCCGCUGGAAAACACCCGCCACAUGUGAGGUCGACUGGAGGAACCGUUCAACAUUAUUAUAUAAAAAAAAGCACCUUGAUUCCUGUCUUUAGUAGAGAGAUAACGCUAAUCAUGUCAAAUUAAAAGGUUUGGGCCCUGGCUGUUACUACCAGCAGCCACAGGGGGCGCCACACCAACCAGCACUGAAAGCCAAAUGACUUCUAUACUGAAAGUGGUUUGACUGUUUGUGUCGAUGCCAAGAAUGUUUGUCCAAAACAGUUUUAACUCUAAAGUUAAACUGUGUCUGUCAGAUUAAAGUGGACCUGGUCUCAGUUCUGGGCUCAGGAUCCAGAUUCUGGUGAUGCUGACGUCAGAUUAUAAAUGUGUUUUAUUGUUUUUAUGUUUCUGGUUUUAGGGUCUGUUGUGAGUUUGAGUCUCUGUGUUCAACAGGCGGUGUUUAUUGACGGAGGGACGCUCCCAACGGUUUGUUCCCAGGCCUCUCUCUCUCCUCAGUCUCUGUUAAGCUCUCUCGCCCUCACCCUGUGUCUCUCUCUGUUUCUGUUUCUCGGUGUCACUCGCCCUUUCUUCUUCUUUCUCACAGCUUCGCCCCUGUCAUGUGAUACUGGGCAUCCUGCCAGCUACCCCCCACCCCCCCCUACACACACACACACACACACACACACACACACACACACACACACAGCGUUGUGUUUCUGCAGCAGCUUCAUGUUUGUACAAAGACUCAGAUUAAUGCUGCUGGAAACUCACUGAUACUGACAGAAGCAGCAGUAGUAGAAGUAGUAGUUGUAGUACUUCUACUACUUCUACUACUGCUACAAAUACUACUACUACAGUAGUAUUUGCAGCUGCUGAUCAGAUGUGAGGUAAACUGCUGUGAAAGCUGCAGCAUGAGUUGAGGAUCAGGACGAACCUGCUGCACCGAGAGGAAAAAGAGAAAGGGACGGAGGGAUGAGACGUCUGCCCGAGGCUGCGACAGGAGACACUCAGACAGGAUGUGAGAGUACGGGAGCCUGCGGGGAUCAUUUUCACCCCUAACUGACAGAAACACCAUUUAAAGAGACACGUUUUAUUUGCUCUGUGUAUUUAGUGUACAUGUACUGUACAGAAUAUUUACAUUCAGACAUAAGGAACAAAUUUCUCUGAGACUUUUGUUGAGCUUCUCAAAUGUGUUUGCAGAUAAACACAAACAAUGUUUGUUGUUUUGCUUCUAUAUAAUUAUAUUUACUCACACAGUUCUUAUGUUGAAUUAAGGGUUUAGUACAUGCAGGUUUAAAAUACUUUAAUUACAUGUUUUGUACACGCUGUAGGCCUCCAAACUUAACAUGAAGCAGAAGAAGAACCCUUUUAAAUUCUGGCUUCUUAUUUUAGUUCUUGCUGAUCAUCUAUUUUAAUGUGAAGAAGCCAAAGACAGUUUUCUAUAAAGUUACUAAUUUAAUAAACUUACUUACUAAACACACAGUGUGCAUGUACAACGUUAACUAUAAACAUCUAUGUACUCUGUACUUUUGUCUCUCGUGUCAGUCAGUACGUUUACUAUCCAGGUGACUCGACUGCAGAUAUACACGGCCAAGAAACUGUUUCUCCAUUACAUGAUGUUCUAGAGCUCAGAUCACAGCAGAGAGUUAGUGAGGUGACUUAAUAUCUCACUGGGAUCUUUUUAUUUGUUAAUGUUAACGACGUGAUUAUUUGCAUCUGUGCUGCAUCACAUGAAUUAGCGUGACGGCCUUGCUCGGUUCUCCAGGGCUGCAGACCUGUUGGAGGCUAAUCAGCUGCAUGAGACACACCUGGGCCAGUUUUAUAAUCUUGUCACAGUGUUUGAUGCAGCGUCUUUGCGGCAGUUUGUUUCUCGUUGAUCGUUAACCCUGCAGCCAGUGGAGACCUGACCUCCUGCCUGAUAAAGAUCUGUCAGCUCCUUCCUGAGCAGGAGAAGCUUUAUGGCCUGAUUUACUGAGUGAAUGUUCUGUCAAACAUACUGUCUCAGUUUAAUCUGAUCAUUAGGCUGUCAAAUAAACUCAAACACGUCUUCAAACACA
Molecule: long non-coding RNA, 3082 nt
Organism: Micropterus dolomieu (smallmouth bass)
Lineage: Eukaryota; Metazoa; Chordata; Actinopteri; Centrarchiformes; Centrarchidae
Exons: 2
Source: RefSeq, a predicted model, not a curated record